RNAcentral lists this ribosomal RNA (440 nucleotides) under uncultured bacterium. RNAcentral's name for it is "bacterial SSU rRNA". It matches the Rfam family "Bacterial small subunit ribosomal RNA", at positions 791 to 1230 of the family's 1533-position model. The record is from RNAcentral.
UAGUCCACGCCCUAAACGAUGUGUGCUAGCUGUUAGUCCUUCAGGGAUUAGUGGCGCAGCUAACGCAUUAAGCACACCGCCUGGGGAGUACGGCCGCAAGGUUAAAACUCAAAGAAAUUGACGGGGACCCGCACAAGCGGUGGAGCAUGUGGUUUAAUUCGAAGCGACGCGCAGAACCUUACCAACCCUUGACAUCCUGUGCUACAUCCAGAGAUGGAUGGUUCCCUUCGGGGACGCAGUGACAGGUGCUGCAUGGCUGUCGUCAGCUCGUGUCGUGAGAUGUUCGGUUAAGUCCGGCAACGAGCGCAACCCACAUCCCUAGUUGCCAGCAGUUCGGCUGGGCACUCUAUGGAAACUGCCCGUGAUAAGCGGGGAGGAAGGUGUGGAUGACGUCAAGUCUUCAUGGCCCUUACGGGGUUGGGGCUGCACACGUGCUACAA